GUGCACUCGACUGUUGUGGCCUUUCGUCUGCCUCCUUCACUUGAAUGGGAGCCUCCUGGGGCAGGGGCUGCUCCUUUUGCUGCUGUUGCAUCUCCAGGCCUGCAGCCAGGCCUGCCCCGCAGUGGGUGUCAACACGCUCUGUGGAACGAGGGACGGAAUGAGGGACGUGAGUGAUCUGUGUGGAUGGAGGAGUGACUUGCAAUGGAAGCCUGCCAGCCAAGACAGCUGGGCCCCUGGAAUCAUUUUUUGAGCACCAAAAGAAGAAACUGGUGGCGGGGCGCAGUGGCUCACACCUGUAAUCCCAGCACUUUGGGAGGCCGAGGCGGGCGGAUCACCUGAGAUCAGGCAUUCGAGACCAACCUGGCCAACAUGGUGAAACCCCAUCUCUACUAAAAAUACAAAAAUUAGCCGGGCAUGGUGGUGCAUGCCUGAAAUCCCAGCUACUCAGGAGGUUGAGGAGGGAGAAUUGCUUGAACCUGGGGGGCGGAGGUUGCAGUCAGCCGAGAUUGCACCACUGCCCUCCAGCCUGGGUGACAGUGAGACUCCAUCUCAAAAAAAAAAAAAAAAAAAAAAAGAAGAAGAAGAAGAAGAAACUGGCAACUCUGGCAACUCUCCUAAGAGGGAGGAAGAGAGGAGAAAGGACAGGGCAGGGCGGUGACAAGUGUCCUGGAACGGAAAAAGAAAAAAGAAGAAAAAAAUUGCACCUGUGUAGGAGGAGAUGCUGGUGGCCCUUGGAGUGCCCAUGUGAGAGAAGAGCCAGUUCCAGGAUUCCAGUGAGAGCAGCCAGCUCAGCGUGGCUCAGCAGCGGGGGACAGCCGUCUAGGAAUCCCUGCGGAGCACCCCAGAGAAGGAGCUUCACCUCGGGACCUGGGUCUCAUUUUCAGGGACUUCAUCUCCCUGAAAAGCAAUGCUGCAUCAGACACAGAGACGCCCCGACAGAACGGAAAACAAUAUGCACUGUUCAACAUGAAACUCCCAUUCAUCUCACUGCUGCAUGACUUUGCCUAAGAGUUCAGGAUAAAGUAAUGUUUGCAAAUACAUCCUGAAAUUGCUUUUGUGGGUUAGCAUCAUUAGAUUGCAUUAUGCUUUGGGAUUAAAAGCGUUAACUUUGCCAUGUAGCUAUUUCAAAUAGAUCACAAGCUCUUUUUUUUUUUUUUUUGAUGAUCACCACUAUACUAACGAGGAUCAAAUAGACCACAAGUUCUGCAACCCUGUUUAGAUGUUUCUUCAUUUCAUAAAGUAUAGGUACCAAGAAUCUCAGUACCUCCUCCUCUCCCCCCAGACUUUCUCUUGUUAUUCUGGGAUCAAAGGGGCCUCAUGUCCCCUCUGAGGGACCUUACCCCUAUCAAGCAGGCUGGCAAGCGGGAGAACGGAGGCCUGAGAAGCUGCAACACAGCUACACUGAACUCCCCAGCCAAGCCAUGUGCUUGCAUCUGCCCGUCUACUCCAGAGUGUGAGCCAAACAUCUGAGACUGUGAGAAUUCGGAGAGCUGACCCCAGACGUUGGUUCCAGUGUUGGGAGGAACCUGGGAAAAUCAAGGGAUGCUUUGGUCCUGUCAUUGUGACUGACAAGCAAUUAGAGGUGAAUAUCUGUGAAUAUUUGGGGGUUUAGAAUGUACCUGUUGAAAUGAAAUGCCCCUGGGAUAUGAAAUAACUUUAGCUGUUGGCAUCUAAGACAACAGAGGCAGCUGGACGUGGUGACUCACGCCUGUAAUCCCAGCACUUUGGGAGGCCGAGGCGGGUGGAUCACCUGAGAUCACGAGUUUGAGACCAGCCUGACCAACAUGGUGAAACCCCAUCUCUACUAAAUACAAAAAAUUAGCCGGGCGUAGUGGCGCAUGCCUGUAAUUCCAGCUACUUGGGAGGCUGAGGCAGGAGAAUUGCUUGAAUCCGGGAGGCGGAGGUUACAGUGAGCCAAGAUUGCACCAUUGCACUCCAGCCUGGGCAACAAGAGUGAAACUCCAUCUCCCCCCCCACCCCGCAAAAAAAGACAACAGAGGCGUUCAAUCAGUCGGCCGCGCAGGGAAUCCAGGCCUCCUGCCAGCUACAGCACCAGCUGGGCAGCACCGUGCAUGAGCCGUCUUGGAAGUGGAUCUUCCAGUCCCAGUCGUGCUGGCGCCUUUGGCUGACUGGGCCUUAGCCAACCUCUGCGGGAUCCUGAAGCCGAACCACUGAGGAAGCCAACCAAUUGCAGAGGAAUAUUCUUCAGCUUCUACAAAGAAUCCGGCCUCUUAUUUUUCUUGAAACUUACAGCUGUCUUGGUGUGUCUUAUUUUUUUCCCCUCUUGAUAGAGAAGUGCUACAAAGAAAUGUUUUUGUACUUCAAUAAAAAGACGAAGUAAGUAAAAAGAUAAAUGACAACUGGUUUGGACCUCAUGUUGGAGAUGUGAUAGGGUGUAGAAGGGACUGGAAACUGGAGAGAACAUGCCCAUCCCAAGAGAGAAGACCCGCCUUUCCAACAACUUCCAGUCUUCCAAGUGAAGCUGGAAAUCCACAUUUAA
This 2500-nucleotide long non-coding RNA is filed under the name Homo sapiens (human). RNAcentral describes it as "non-protein coding lnc-VWF-2:6". Lineage: Eukaryota; Metazoa; Chordata; Mammalia; Primates; Hominidae. The record is from RNAcentral.